RNAcentral lists this long non-coding RNA (461 nucleotides) under Capra hircus (goat). RNAcentral describes it as "lncRNA (ENSCHIG00000001728.1)". Lineage: Eukaryota; Metazoa; Chordata; Mammalia; Artiodactyla; Bovidae. The record is from RNAcentral.
AUGCGCUUCGCUGAGCCCCGAGGCCUGGUGGGGCAGCUGCCACAGAAGGAAACGUUAGUGUGGGGAAAGCAAAAUGACUGUUAAGGAGACAUGCCUUCUCUCCAUUUCCAGGCUCUGUGAAAUAUGUUGCAAGGCCUAUCUGUCUGCAACAGGACAGUUUGAGCAUUGCCUGCCAUUCAUUGCUCAUGAAAAGAAGGUACAAAGACUGAGGGGAGUCAAGAUCAAAGUCUGUCUUUCCUGCAUAAAACAAGGAUAUUUCUCUGAGGCUUCAGGGGAUAAAAUUCUGUCUUGUGUGGGAUGUCACAGAAUCAUGGAAUGUGAGAACUGGGAAGAGGAAGCCUUCAGGAUCACUGUCGCUGGAAUCCUUGCUUGUCAGAAGAUGGAAUGCUUUAUAAAUUAUAAAGUGCUAUAGCCGUCUCACAUCCUUUUGAGGAGCAGCUGUGUAUAAAUUAUAAAUAAAA